UCCAGGAUGUCAUGUAGUUGGAGUCAUACAGCAUAAACUCUUUCCAUAUUGGCUUCUUUCACGCGGCAAAUGGGUCAAAUUUCUUCCUUGUCUGUUUGUGGCUUCAUAGCUCAUUUCUUUUGAUCUCUGUAAAUAUCACACUGUCUGGAUGGACCAGUGUCUUUAUCCACUCACCUAUUGGAAGGCAUCUGAACUUUGACAAUUGUUCCCUACCGGGUCUUCUCAUGGUCGGUGGCGGACAGUGGGUGUAACCACGGAGGAGGCCGUGCAGUGCUCGCCUCGGAUCCUUGGCGGCCGGCCUCCGGGGCACUGACCAGCUCGUGUGAAGGGAACCCUCUGGGUGGUCUACUGCUUAGGAUGGCCGCUGGCACACUCUUCAGGCAAUAACUUGGGAAAAUGCCAACGUUCGAGAACUCGAUACAGAACUCUAAGUCUCGGUGAUGUUUUGCCUGUCUACUUGAGCUGGAAUAUCUGACCGUAUUACAGUCUACACUCAGCAUGUGACAAACCGUUUCCAAAUCCUCUAACAACAGGCUUCUAAUUCCGGAUGCCACGGGAUAAAUACUCCAGAUCUUUGACAUUGAAGGAGAAAGCUUUCAGUAAUUUUAAGUCCAGGGAUGAUGAAUGUCAGAAGUGUAAUUUCUAAACUUGGUAGUGGUGCUUUUACUAAAUUCAAUUCACACCGUGAAUGUCCUUCAAAGAACAUGCAAAAAAAAAAUGCUUUUUAAUUCAAUUAUUGUUUAUGACUAAAACCUAAGUUUCAACAGAAAUUCAGCUAAACUUUGAAACUCAGAGUUAAAAGAUUAAGAAAAUGUUCUGCUCUUGUGUAUGGAUAGAUGAUAAUGUUGUAGACCAAUAGCGUUUGCCGUUUGUGACCAAAUAGUGGUAAAAAGUAAGACCAUGAAUUACUGGGCUUUUGAUUAGCAUUAAAAUUCUGAAAAUUUAAAAAAAAAAAAAAGGUGAGAGGGAGAAAGAAUGAAAAAAAUGAAAGGAAGGGAAAGAGAAAGAGAGAAGAGGAAAGAAGGGAAGGAAAUCGGAAUUUGGAAGUUCCCUCGAGUGGUCUCACUCUCUCACGUCCCCCCGUGAUGCAGGGUGACGGUUUGGGCGGCUGGGGCCCCUCGCCAGCACUUGGCCCCUUCAUUUCAGCCCUUCUGCCACCUGUGUUGUUCGUGGUAAUGGUUUUAACUUGCGUUUUCCUAGUGAGUAAAGAGGUUAAACAUCGUUUCCGGUACUUCUCAGUCGCAGGUGUAUCUUCUUUAGUGAAACGUCUGUUCGAAUGUUACGCUCAUUUAAAAAUACGGCCUUCAACUGCCAGCUCCCAAAUGGGGUGUGACUUCUGCCGAGACUGUUUCUCCUCGAGUCAUACUGGAGCCACACUCUCUGAGCAGACUGGAGGUCCCUCUGCCCUCGUAAUUUUCCAUGACGCAAACAUCCCAUUGUAUUCUCAUGGUACGUCUGUCUCCACACUAGACCGCAGGUCUCCUGAGGACAAAACUGCGUUCUGCCUUUGACCUCUGUCAUCUGAUGCGAGCCUGACCACAGUGGGCCACGUAUCGGGUGACCUGCCCCUGUGCUACUCCCCUGGGUACCAGGGCUCGGGGGGAUAUAGUGUUGAUCCUGUUAAACUGCCCCACCCAGUCUGCAGGAACUGUCAUUGAACUGAACUCCCUAUGUGACCCCCAGCCCCAGAAUAAUAACUGAUGACAGGAAAGAAUAUGGUAAGACUCUCGGUCCUAAGGACACAGUGGCAGCCACAGGUGCCUGCGUGGGGCACUCCAGGGCCCCACCCUGAUUCACAACACAUUUUCUCCCUUCCGAUUUACAUACUUUCCUCACAGUCUAGGCUCCACAGCCUUCUCUAUAUUCUUUUUAUUUUCGUUAAGAAAUAAACAAUACAUAAAACUACAAAGUAUAACAUAGCCACCCAGUAUAAAUAGUAACAUCCAAAAACCCAGAUCUGAUCUAUUUGCUUCAGAUUUCUCAAACAAGAAGAAAUGCCCAUCACGGACCGUGACAAUCACCUAGAUUCCCUCUUCAGUCCCCUCAUCUUCAAGGACAACCACAGUCAUGGGCUUAAUGAGUCUCCAAUCCAUAUUUUCAUACUUUUACGACACUCGCUCUCUGCAUGUGGUGUUGGUAGUGUUGCUUUGGGUUUCCUCACGACGGCAAACCCUGUGUUCUUCUCCAGUGAACUGUUCUCCCUCUUGCUUCCUUCCUUCACCAGGAAGGUCUUCGGUUCUGGUGAGCCCACCCUGUCUCGAGGGUCACCUCGAAGCAAACUCUGAUGAGCUUUUGUGGAGAGAAGUGUCUGAAAUCACCCAGGCCAAAGAAAUGCUGGGAAGGGUGCCGUUCUGUGACACCCACCGGUCUCAUGUCGGGCUCCCACGCCAUCUCGUGUUUCUUGCUUCUUGGCCUUUUGUGAUUAUUUUCUAGGACAGACUUGAUUUCACCUUCUAUCUCUUCUACCACAUUUUUCUUCUCUCAUUUCCGGGAGUCACUGUCCUUGGAUAAUUUUGCUUUCAUGGCGUCCUGUUGUUAAUGCGGGUAUAAUAAACUUAUAUUUUUAAAAACCGCUUCAUUGAGGUGUAAUGGACGUUCAAUGAACCGCAUGUAUUUAUAAAGCGUAUAACAUGAUGCAUACAGAUGUGAAACCAUCGCACAAGCAAGAUAAGGAGCAUCAACCCCGAAUGUGUUCUCUGGUCCUUUUGUAAAGCCCCCACCCGAGCCCCCACCCGCAGGCAAACGCUUCCCGUACCUAAUACAGCAUGCGUCCUUUUUUGUCUCGCCCCUUUCCGUCAGCAUGGUGACACUGAGACAUUAUUUUCCUGCCACUGUUCAUAGUUUCUUCCUCUCUUCCUGCACAGUAGUAUUCCAUCGUAUGGAUAUACCACAAUACAGUUAGUCAUUCACCUGCCUACAGAUAAUUGGGUUGUUUCCAGUUUGGGGCUGUUGCAAAUAAAGCUGCUAUGAUCAUUCAUGUAAAUGUCUCUGUAUAUAUUAUACGCUUUCAUUUCUCUUGGGCAAUUACCUAGGAGUGAAAUAUUUGGGUCGUAUAGCAAGUGUAUGUCUAACUUUUAAAGAAACUGCCAGAGUGUUUUCACCAUCUCACAUUCCCACCAGCGAGUGUGUGUGAGUUUCAGAGUCUCUGCUUCCUCACCAAGCCUUCGUUGGUCGUUUUCUUCGAUUUCAGUUAUUCUAAGGGACGGGGAGUGUGGUGUGAUUGGCGUUUCCCUAAUGACUAGAGGUGGUAAGCGUCUUUGCACCUACUUACUGGCCUGCCGUCUGUACGUGUUCUUUGAUGAAGAGUCUGUUCAAAUCUUUUGCCCGUGGUAAAGAUUGUUCUGAAGUUUUUAUUGUUGAAAUUUGAGAGUUCUUUGUGUAUUUGGAUGCAGAACUCUUAUCAGACACGCGAUUUGUCAGUCACACCAGCAGUCCAUUCCUGAACAUUGCUGGGUCACAUUCCAGGGCACCGCGUCCCUCUGGCCACUCACCUGCCGAGGCCCAGUAUCCCCUGAUGUUACAAUUUGUUUCUAAAACAUUUCCCUUUUGCUUCUGGAAUGAUGUUUUCUUCAGAGGCAUUUGCUUUUCUUCCACGAUGUAACCUUUUCUCAGUAUCUGGUGAUCCCUGACCAUCAGUGCACAUUUCUGAAAAAGUUCCAGAAGAGCUGAGUGGGAGCCUGUGAUUGCGGGGACCACACCUCCUGGGGCUCUCCUGCAACACGAGGCAGAAGGUGGCUGGCUACUACACUGGAAGCAAGCGACAGCAGAAACAACAGCCUCAAGUACCGCUAAACAAGAACGUGACAGGUUUGCGGAUGGUGGGACGGUGACGCUCCAGAACCGGAGCUCAACCGGAGAGAAUGGCAGGGAUGCACAAAAUGCCCCCAGAGGCUGGGCUGACAGGACAAACACGUGAACACCGAUGGUGCUCAUUUACCCUCGUUACAAAACGUGCUUGGGGACGCACUGUCAUCCACAAUGAGCAAACCGUCAGAUACCGAAGAACUACCUGAACAGGCAGGCACGGCAUUUACAGAGUGUCCCUCAGCUCCGCCGAGGACCGGAGACGCGUCA
Long non-coding RNA from Acinonyx jubatus (cheetah), 4074 nucleotides. RefSeq lists it as uncharacterized. NCBI's taxonomy places the organism in Eukaryota, Metazoa, Chordata, Mammalia, Carnivora, Felidae. The record is from RefSeq and is a predicted model, not a curated record. The transcript has 5 exons.